Heterocephalus glaber (naked mole-rat) is the source of this 8129-nucleotide non-coding RNA. The record is from RefSeq and is a predicted model, not a curated record. Lineage: Eukaryota; Metazoa; Chordata; Mammalia; Rodentia; Bathyergidae.
UCGGGGGCGGAGGCGGCGAAGGGGCGGGAGCGCCAGGAGGAGCGACUGGGCCCCGCCGCCCGCUCCCCGCCGCAUGGACGAGCACCACAGCCUCCUGCGCUCGCCGCCGCAGCCCUCCGCCUACCACCGCGCCCACCCUCCCCAGAACUCCGCGAGCGGCGGCGGCGGCGGCGGCGGCGCCCAAACCUUGGUGAACCCGGGCUACCCCGAGCCCGCCGCAGGCCCCGAGCCGCCGCCCGACAUGACCGUGGUGUCCGGGGACCACCUGCUGGAGCCGGAGGCGGCGGACGGCGGCGGGGGCCCGCCUCGGGGAGGCGGCGGGGGCUGCGACCGCUAUGAGCCGCUGCCGCCCGCGCUCCCGGCCGCCGGCGAGCAGGACUGCUGCGGGGAGCGCGUGGUCAUCAACAUCUCGGGGCUGCGCUUCGAGACGCAGCUCAAGACCCUCUGCCAGUUCCCCGAGACGUUGCUGGGCGACCCCAAGCGGCGCAUGAGGUACUUCGACCCGCUCCGCAACGAAUACUUCUUCGACCGCAACCGGCCCAGCUUCGACGCCAUCCUCUACUACUACCAGUCCGGGGGCCGCAUCCGCCGGCCGGUCAACGUGCCCAUCGACAUCUUCUCGGAGGAGAUCCGCUUCUACCAGCUCGGCGAGGAAGCCAUGGAGAAGUUCCGCGAGGAUGAGGGCUUCCUGCGGGAGGAAGAGCGGCCCCUGCCCCGCCGUGACUUCCAGCGCCAGGUGUGGCUGCUGUUCGAGUACCCCGAGAGCUCCGGGCCUGCCCGGGGCAUCGCCAUCGUGUCCGUACUGGUCAUCCUCAUCUCCAUCGUCAUCUUCUGCCUGGAGACUCUUCCCGAGUUCCGCGACGAGAAGGACUACCCCGCCUCGCCGUCGCAGGACGCCUUCAAGGCGCCCAGCAACAGCACGUCGGGGGCCCCCGCGGAAGCCUCCAGCUUCUCGGAUCCCUUCUUCGUGGUGGAGACCCUGUGCAUCAUCUGGUUCUCUUUUGAGCUGCUGGUGCGUUUCUUUGCUUGCCCCAGUAAAGCCACCUUCUCGCGAAAUAUCAUGAACCUAAUAGACAUCGUGGCCAUUAUCCCGUAUUUUAUCACUCUGGGCACCGAGCUGGCUGAGCGACAGGGCAAUGGACAGCAGGCCAUGUCCCUGGCCAUCCUGAGGGUCAUCCGCCUGGUGAGGGUUUUCCGCAUCUUCAAGCUCUCCCGUCACUCCAAGGGGCUGCAGAUCUUGGGGCAGACGCUGAAGGCUUCCAUGCGGGAGUUGGGAUUGCUCAUCUUUUUCCUCUUUAUUGGGGUUAUCCUUUUCUCCAGCGCAGUCUACUUUGCCGAGGCAGACGACCCCAGUUCGGGUUUUAGCAGUAUCCCGGAUGCUUUUUGGUGGGCAGUGGUAACCAUGACAACAGUUGGUUAUGGUGAUAUGCACCCAGUGACCAUUGGGGGCAAGAUUGUGGGCUCUCUUUGUGCUAUCGCGGGUGUCUUGACCAUUGCAUUGCCAGUUCCUGUGAUUGUUUCCAACUUCAAUUACUUCUACCACCGGGAGACCGAAGGGGAAGAGCAAGCCCAGUAUAUGCACGUGGGAAGUUGCCAGCAUCUCUCCUCCUCAGCGGAGGAGCUCCGAAAAGCACGGAGUAACUCGACUCUGAGUAAGUCGGAGUAUAUGGUGAUCGAAGAGGGGGGUAUGAAUCACAGCGCUUUCCCCCAGACCCCUUUCAAAACGGGCAACUCCACUGCCGCCUGCACCACGAACAAUAAUCCCAACUCCUGUGUCAACAUCAAAAAAAUAUUCACUGAUGUUUAAUAUAUGAUAUGAAUGACAUACUGUGCACAAUAUGUGUGAAACGUGCCCCCUUGGUCUGUGUAUGCCCUUAUUUUAUACAUUUCCAGACCAUUCAUCGAGGAAAGGACAGGAAGAAGUGAGAAGCACACUUCAUUCUCCCUCUUCUUAGUGCUUCACACUGAAACAGGUGCCUGUUUUGCAAGUGGGCUGCAUUCUCUCAGCUUUCCUUUUUUUUCCCUCCUCGUCUUAAUUCUGUGAACAAAAUCUUACAUUAAACUUGAUUUCUAGCACACGCCCUUUUGUUUUAAAGUACAUCCUGGGAGGAAAUGAAACAGGAACAGUUAAGACUUCAGAGUAACUGUUUAACCUCAAAAUUAAAAGGUAGUUCUUCUUUACUAAGUAAAGCCAGCGAAUACUGAAAUGAUUCUUCAGUUUGGUGGACACUGUAACAUUAUUUCUUGAGUGUUUAGUUCAAUUGUCUACUCUCGAUAUGUGGAUGAAAAGUCAAGUAGAACAAUGACAUAAACCCACCCUAAGUUUAUUUGGUUUUUUUUACUGGAGUUUCUGUUUCAAUCCUCCCCUUCUGGAAUCUUAAGGAUCUCAACAGCUCUGAACAAAGGGAAAUGCCCAAAACAUCCUGAUCUGGCUGAUUAACUCUUUGGGACUUGCUAAGCAUUUUGCAAGUAUUAGACUAAAAAAUUCCAGACAAGUUCUGUGCAUAUGUCCCAGCUAACAUCCAUCAGUCUAGAAACAGAUGUUUUUCAGUGCUGCUGAGAAACAAAAAAAUUCCUAAUGGAUCUGAGAGAUAAGCUUCUGCGGUAUCACAAGAAGAUUAAAGUGGCAGACACCCCUUCCAGCGGAAGUUACUAAUUCGGACCUGACUGAUGCAGUUCCCAUAGCAACCCAUGUUUCCUGGGAAACCCGAAAAAGGUUGUCAUGGCAUCUCUUGCUCCCUAGCCCCACCCCCAGCCCUUGCUGUUUCCACAGUAACCUUUCCAGAUGGUUCCUACUUACAUGAUUUCAUAAGGAAAACUGCUAUUUGAAUAAACCGCACAAAUAAAGUUAAGUGUGAGAAUCUAAGGAGGUGAAAGGAGUCACAAAAUGCAUUUUUUCCUAUGAACAUCAUUAAUGUUAUCCCAUAGUGGCUGAAUUGACAAGGAAAAUAUCAUCUUUGGAAUGUUACACGUAAACCAGGAUAAGGCAUGAUAGAAAUUAAAUGCCAGUUGUUAGGCAAUAAUUUAAAAAGAUGCUCUCUACAGUUUUCUUUCUCCAAGAAGUGAUAAGUCAACAAAAGCCAACGUAAAAGUGUCCUGUACAUAAGCAAAUUAGAAAUUCAGUCUACCUGAAAUCUUACUAGAAGGGCCCUUCAGACUUGCUUGUGAAAACAAAAUCCAGCUCCUGCAAAAAGGUUGUCACCAUUACAGCACUUGAAAAGCAAAAUAAAUAUUUAAAGAAUACUCAUUUUUAACUGACGGAAUUACAAUCAGUGAAAAGGAAGAUCCGAAAGUAACCAGAUCUCAAAAGGAACACCUGCAAGUUUCAGCCAUAUGCUAAGCGUUGCCAGCAGACAGAAAGAAUCAGGGUCAGCUAUAUCCUGUACAUUUGUCAGUUCUCCAAGCAGAUCCUUGAAGAGCCCUACAUGAGCAAUAGAGCAGCCCUAACCAGAAAGAUGCUAAGUUUUCAUUUGCCUGGACCAAGAAUGCAGUAGCAGUUUUUACAUCACUGAUGGGCAGGGAUCUGUCCACCAGCGCAUAUUUUUAUUUCAGUUUACAUUAAAUAAUGAUUUAUGUAAAGAAAACAGCUUGCAGCUGAAGGAUUCUCUUCAUCCUGUGUGCAGGAUAAAAGAUACUGAUCAAGAGACAAAGAAUAUUAAAAAUAUUAAGGUAUUUGAAUCUGUUGACAUUUUGAUAAAAUCUAAUCAUGCAAAAAUUAUAUUCAGUGUUGCAGAUAAAGGAAGCUUACAUGUUUGUUUCUAAUAAACCAACUAUUGCUAUCUUAUUUUUUAAUUACUGGACUGUAUUUAAUGGUGAGGUAUAUUCAUGUCAUACUAUGUGUUCUGGUUAUGUGAAACUUUACUUUUGAAGGUAUGUUCUGUACCAAAGGUCCCCAUAUAUAGCUUAGCCACUUACACAUAAAUAAGUAAAGUCGACACUGUGCCCAGAAUAAUGGUAUUAAAGACAGACUUGCCUAAAAGAAAUGUGCCUUGCUUUAUUAAACAUUCUUUUAUUUUUUAAUUUAAAGUAAUAUUUACAAAUUAGUCUUAUAGUUAGGUUUUAGCUUACCUUAACUUUACAAAAAUAUAUUAGUACUUAUUAUGUUUGAAGUGUCUAUGUUAACUAAAAUUUUAACAUUUAGUUAUACUUUUAAACAGUUCAUGUAUAAUAGUUCACUUUUAUUUUCAUGAGAUAUUUGAUAUGGUGAGACAAAGCACAUUCUUAAAGAUAUAUAAAAUAUUUCAGCUAAUGGUUUAGCUUUUUCUUCAAGAUUCUAUAUGUAAAAAAAUUCCUUGACUCAUUUUCUAUUUUUAUAUUCUUUUAGAAAUGGAACUCUUUUUCAAUUAAGAAAAGCAAAAUGUUAAUUGGAAAAGAUAUUUAGGGCGUCAUGAAGAUGAUUUCCCAUUUGGGGACAUUUCACUUCUGUGCCAUUAUUAAUGUAUUUACUGUGACAUUUCAGCAGAAUGGUAGCUAUUUGUAUAUUAUUUCAUAAGCCUUAUGGAAAGUCAAACUGUGAACAUAGAGUAUAUAGAAGAUCUUUUUCAUUUCUGUAUUUCAUUUUCAAAAUAUACCUGAAGAAAUAUAUUGUCGUAUUGCUUAAAUGAACAACAAUGCUAAAUUAUAAUUAGAGUGCUUAUGUAAUUUUAAUUACUAUAAAAUAUAUCAGGUGCGAAGCCAAGAUUAUAAACUUUUCAAUGCCUUUAGACAGAAAUACAGGUGAUGAAUUUCAUUAAUGUAUAGAAAUCAUUAACUAAACAAGUAUUCACCUAAUGGCAGCAAAACAUGUGAAUAGGAGAUACAAACCAGGUAACUUUCUUUGAGGCAAUGUCUACAAUAAAUGUUUCAUAAUCUUCUGGUAAUUUCUUGUGGUCAAAACUUGCAGACCAGAUCACUCUAGGAAAAAGUGAAAUAAAGGAAUGAGAACUGUCUCAUAUUUGAGCUAUUUGAAUCUCCAGUGGAGGUGAUUUAUGAUUAAAGUGAAAAUAUAGCCACCACUUUGUUUCUAUUCUGUGUUAGCCCAUGUAGUAGAGACACUGGCCAGGGAACAGUCAGUUCAUUGCAGCCAAUUUAAUCCUUAUAACGGGUGAUGAUAGCCUGGAAUGAUUGAAACAAACCGUUCAACUGUGCUACAGGAGUUCUUAGGCAUGCAGAUGUCUUAGUAGGGAUCAAUAGGUAUUACACAAAGAGGCAUAAAAACUACCCUCAUAAAGCACCAAGAAUACCAUUUUAGUCAUUAUAGUAUAUUUAGUAUCAUAUCUGCCCUAUUACUACAGGAUACAAUUUCAAUAAAUAUAGGACCUGGACUCUGAGAAGGAAAUCACAAAAUUGCAUCAGGUGAGUAACCAAAUACGUUCACAGAAUGGAUAAUGAGCAUAAUAUUCACCUAGAAUAUUACCUAUAAUUCUUACCUACUUCCUACCUGUGGGACCCUAGAUAAGUCAGUUACUAUAGUUAGGCUCCAGUUUUUUCAAUUGCAAAAUGGGUAUGCUGAGUUGAAUAAUCACCAAAGCCCCUUCAGGUCCCAAACCUGUUAUAUACAUUUCCUGAAAAAUACUUUGAAGGAUAUAUACCCACUCAGAUUUUCUGAUCCUUUUCUGAAGAGAAGAAUAAAUUGAAAUAAGAUUUAAGCCUUGAAAGUAUCAUAAAUUUAUCAUUCUUCAAAUUGGUUGUGAGAAGAGGAAAAAUAAUUCUUUCUCCUCUAAGAAUUUUCCCUUAUCUACAAUGGGAUCAUGAAAAAAAUAGAAAAAUCACUGCAGAAGGAAAACAGAUUAAUGGAAUCACUAGAAAGAAAGGGAGAAUAUUUGUUAAAUUUAGUUAGGUAUUAAUGUGGUUAGCAAAUGACCUAUGAAAUUCCAGAAUUUUAUUGCACACUCAACAUUAUAAGCCUGAGAUAGUGGAAGAUGGGAAAAGGUUAAGCAAUAUGAGUGUUUGCCAUAUGAUCUCUUGAUUCUUUUUACACAGAGAGCUUAAGCAGGUGUCUGUCUGUACUGUAGUUCUGGCUCUGCCAGUAACCCUCAUGUCCCCCAGGAAAGUCCCUUUAACUUCUCAGAGCCUCAGUUUCAUUAUCUGUAAAGUAGAAAUUUUUAAUUUAGUAAUCAGUUUCUUUUCAUUUUCAAAAAUUCUAUAGCAUUUUCAAAUUUUCAUAAUAUAUGCAUAUCUGUGCCAGUUGUCCCCCGCCCCAGUCACUAACAUGUCACAUAUUUCUACUGAAGGGAUUGACUAGAUUAAAAACUGAAACGUUCAUAUUUCUACUAUUACUAAUUGGCCUUAGCAAAACAUAAAAAUGUCAAAUCUUAUUUUCAUUCUGAUUGUGGCUUAACUGUUAUGAUUUAUCAUUUCAUCUUUGAAUGCUGAAUUCAUUGUUUACACAAAAUGUUUGUUCAAGUUAUUCUUCUCUUUAAAUUGUGGUUUCAUGAACUCUCAGUAAAGCAGAAUCAAGUAUAUUUUGCUUACCAAUGAACAGUAGCUGAUUGUAAAGUACAUUUUUGUCACAUUUAAAAGUUUAAUCCCCUUUUAGAGCCAGAAGCAAUGACUAGUAAACUAAUACUCAUAAAAUUUUAUGAAUUUUUUAAUACAAAGGAGGCCAGGUAGAGCCAUAUUGUAAUUAAUUUUGCUCAGGAGUGAGAAAUAAAAUUCAGGGAUAGCCCAAACACUUUUGUUUGGCAUUAGUGGGAAGUUGAGAAAUAAAAGGUUACAGUUUUUGCACAACAAAGAGAACAGGUGACUAUACUGGUUUUAUGGUAGAGAUUAGGUUAAAAGAAUGUUAGAAUUUGGGCACUAGAAAAAUUAUUAAAAUGACAGCAGUCCAUUUUAAUUAUACAGAAAUAUUUUGUCAUACUGAAAUUAUUCAUCCAGAGAUUUGGUAUUAUAUUCCUUUCAUUCAGAAAAGGGGGCAAUUUUUAAAGGCCUCUGUCAUAAUAAAAAUGUAUAUUUUGACUAGUGGAGCAAUUAAUUAAAAAACAUUAAUCUAAUCAUUUGGUUUUAUGAAUCUGAAUUUUUAGGUUUACGUAGAUGUGAUUGAGUCUCUCAUGUAAUAGUGUUAGUGAUCUUUGUGAGAAGUGAUUUCGUCCUUUUUGUAAAGUUUAUGAAAUUUGCUAAGUGGUGAUUCUAGCAUAUUGUAAUAAUACUGUAUCUUACAAUCACUUUAUCAGACCAAACAAACCAUAGUAGUAUCUCUUCUGGUAAAUUGUCUCUAUGAUGUGAUCUCUUAAGGCUGGGUUUGGGGGUGGGGAAGGUUAAGUAUUUAGUUUACUUUAAAUUGUCCAAAUGUUUUUCUCAAAUGCCAUAAAAUUGUAUGCCUAUAAACCAAAUAAGAAUAUCUUUUUUUUCCAAUUUUAAGGGCACUGUAUAGACCAUUUUUCAACUACUCCAUAAAAUGGUAUCAUUUAUGUUUAAAAGCUCCCACAUGUAUUUAUAUGUAUAUAUAUACACACAAGGGAAAGCAAACAGUGUAUGUAGUAUUUCUAUGUAAUAUACUAAGUGUUAUAAGAAUCUGUUUUUGAAAUAUUAAAUAGAUAGUAACUACACAGACAUCAAAAUACCAGAUAUACCAUCUCAAGUUUGUCCAAAAUUUGUUUAUUGACAUAUAUCAUACUUUGCAAACAUCAUUCAUAUAUUCCACACACACCCUACAGCAUCCACAAGAAGUACUAACACCACCCAAAAUUUAGAGAUUGAUCCACCAAUUUGGAAAGGUCAAAUGACUUUUCCAAGAUCAUUUGGCCAAUAAGUGACUCCAAAUCUCAUUUCUUUACACUAUUCACCCUCUGUCAUGUGAUCUUUAUUCUAUCACUGCCAUUAUAUUUAAAAUUUUGACUAAAAUUCAGUUUUAAAAGACGCAUUGCAGAAUUUCAGGUUUUAGUGAAAAGAUGUUGUUGCUGCCAUUGUCAGACCUUUUUAGAUGCUUAGUCCUUCCGUCGGGUGAUAGCUACACCUUUUCCACUUCAAACCUGUUAAGUCCACAACCCUGACCUACAACACCAAAUUCAUUUGACGCCAAAAAGCUAAACUGAAAAACAAUCUUCGCUGCUCUUUCUAAUUUCCUUUGUUGAGAAAUGCAUCAUAAUGAUUGAUUGAUUUCUGAAUAGUUGAAAGAAGCAACCCAAUAAGUUGUGACAGUGUGAUUCAGA